UUUGUUUUGUUGUCUACUUCUUUAUUUCCCUUUGGAUGGGUGCUCAUGUCGGCGUGGGGCACAACGGCCGCCGAGGGAGCCGAGCCGGCGGAUGUGGAGGCCGCCGAGCGGCGGUGCUCGCGUGAAGGAGGAAUAUGAUGAUGCGUGGAGUGGCAUGGGGUACCAACCAUCUCCAUCGAGUGGCGGUGCUCGCGUGAAGGAUGAGUUCGUGGUAGUAGCACUCUCUCGGCUGUGGCUGCACGUUCAACUGGCCAGUCAAGGAGCUCCAGCAGGACACCCAGCAAGUGUUUAGGAUCCCACACACGGCAGUUCUUGGCAUGCUCCUGGCACACCUUGGACUAUCACCGGCUCAGUAUGAACGCGUUGGUCAUGAGGACGGCAAGACCCAUGUUGUAAAUUGUCUGUAAGCGACGUGUUGCCGUAUCUUCUAUGCCUAAAACGUCUGUAAGCGACGUGUUGUCGUAUCUUCUAUACCUAAACGUCUACAUUAUGCCUAAAACUUAAAGUUAUUAUGCAUAGUUGUAAAUUGUCUUUAAGCGACGUGUUGUCGUAUCUUCCAUGCCUAAGAUAUUUGGUGCUAACCUAUCGUGAAACAUGCUUUUUAUGUUCAUGCAUUGUUACGUAGCUUCUUAUUAUGUGCAUACAAACGUUUGGACCGGCGCCCUCGCGCCACGACGCGAUCCCGAUCUA
Triticum urartu is the source of this 690-nucleotide non-coding RNA. Lineage: Eukaryota; Viridiplantae; Streptophyta; Magnoliopsida; Poales; Poaceae. The record is from RefSeq and is a predicted model, not a curated record.